RNAcentral lists this ribosomal RNA (496 nucleotides) under uncultured bacterium. RNAcentral's name for it is "partial 16S ribosomal RNA". It matches the Rfam family "Bacterial small subunit ribosomal RNA", at positions 29 to 507 of the family's 1533-position model. The record is from RNAcentral.
AUGAACGCUGGCGGCGUGCCUAAUACAUGCAAGUCGCGCGAACAGACGAGGAGCUUGCUCCUCUGACGUUAGCGGCGGACGGGUGAGUAACACGUGGAUAACCUACCUAUAAGACUGGGAUAACUUCGGGAAACCGGAGCUAAUACCGGAUAAUAUAUUGAACCGCAUGGUUCAAUAGUGAAAGACGGUUUUGCUGUCACUUAUAGAUGGAUCCGCGCCGCAUUAGCUAGUUGGUAAGGUAACGGCUUACCAAGGCGACGAUGCGUAGCCGACUUGAGAGGGUGAUCGGCCACACUGGAACUGAGACACGGUCCAGACUCCUACGGGAGGCAGCAGUAGGGAAUCUUCCGCAAUGGGCGAAAGCCUGACGGAGCAACGCCGCGUGAGUGAUGAAGGUCUUCGGAUCGUAAAACUCUGUUAUUAGGGAAGAACAAAUGUGUAAGUAACUAUGCACGUCUUGACGGUACCUAAUCAGAAAGCCACGGCUAACUACGUG